GGGAUACCCGCUGAACUUAAGCAUAUCNAUAAGCGGAGGANAAGAAACAACAGGGAUUGCCUCAGUAACNGCGAGUGAAGCGGCAAGAGCUCAAAUUUGAAAGCUGGCCCCCUCGGGGCCCGCGUUGUAAUUUGCAGAGGAUGCUUCGGGAGCGGCCCCCAUCUAAGUGCCCUGGAACGGGCCGUCAUAGAGGGUGAGAAUCCCGUCUGGGAUGGGGUGCCCGCGCCCGUGUGAAGCUCCUUCGACGAGUCGAGUUGUUUGGGAAUGCAGCUCUAAAUGGGUGGUAAAUUUCAUCUAAAGCUAAAUAUUGGCCGGAGACCGAUAGCGCACAAGUAGAGUGAUCGAAAGAUGAAAAGCACUUUGAAAAGAGAGUUAAAAAGCACGUGAAAUUGUUGAAAGGGAAGCGCUUGCGACCAGACUCGCCCGCGGGGUUCAGCCGGCAUUCGUGCCGGUGUACUUCCCCACGGGCGGGCCAGCGUCGGUUUGGGCGGCCGGUCAAAGGCCCUCGGAAUGUAACGCCUCUCGGGCGUCUUAUAGCCGAGGGUGCCAUGCNGCCAGCCCGGCU
Molecule: ribosomal RNA, 565 nt
Filed under: Penicillium sp.
Lineage: Eukaryota; Fungi; Ascomycota; Eurotiomycetes; Eurotiales; Aspergillaceae
Description: LSU rRNA
Rfam family: Eukaryotic large subunit ribosomal RNA
Source: RNAcentral